Molecule: ribosomal RNA, 520 nt
Filed under: Nitrososphaerota archaeon
Lineage: Archaea; Thermoproteati; Nitrososphaerota
Description: bacterial SSU rRNA
Rfam family: Archaeal small subunit ribosomal RNA
Source: RNAcentral
CAGAAUCCGGUUGAUCCUGCCGGACCUGACUGCUAUCGGAUUGAUACUAAGCCAUGCGAGUCAUUGUAGCAAUACAAGGCAGACGGCUCAGUAACGCGUAGUCAACCUAACCUAUGGACGGGAAUAACCUCGGGAAACUGAGAAUAAUGCCCGAUAGAACACUAUACCUGGAAUGGUUUGUGUUCCAAAUGAUUUAUCGCCGUAGGAUGGGACUGCGGCCUAUCAGUUUGUUGGUGAGGUAAUGGCCCACCAAGACUAUUACAGGUACGGGCUCUGAGAGGAGUAGCCCGGAGAUGGGUACUGAGACACGGACCCAGGCCCUAUGGGGCGCAGCAGGCGAGAAAACUUUGCAAUGUGCGAAAGCACGACAAGGUUAAUCCGAGUGGUUUCUGCUAAAGGAACCUUUUGUUAGUCCUAGAAACACUAACGAAUAAGGGGUGGGCAAGUUCUGGUGUCAGCCGCCGCGGUAAAACCAGCACCUCAAGUGGUCAGGAUGAUUAUUGGGCCUAAAGCAUCCGUA